This is a non-coding RNA of Lonchura striata (white-rumped munia), 274 nucleotides long. Lineage: Eukaryota; Metazoa; Chordata; Aves; Passeriformes; Estrildidae. The record is from RefSeq and is a predicted model, not a curated record.
UUCCCUAGCAAGCGGUGUGUGCAAUGGGCAGCAACUGAGUGAAACCCAACUGUAUGUCACCUGUCACUUAUGAGCACAGAACAUAGAGGAAGCUGAGAAGAACCUGAUUUAGGGGUCAUUACUUCCCAAUGGUAGCUGAAAUGAUUAAUGUACAACAGAAGUGAACUCUUGAAUUCUCAUUACAAGAAAACUUAGGGCUGAAAACACAAGACAAUAUUGCUAUCUUCAUUCAAUUCCUCUGGAAAGGAUUGGAAAAUAAAUGUUGGAAUAAGUC